GUGCCAGCAGCCGCGGUAACACGUAGGGGGCGAGCGUUGUCCGGAUUUAUUGGGCGUAAAGAGCUCGUAGGCGGCUCGGUAAGUCAGGUGUGAAACCUCCAGGCUCAACCUGGAGACGCCACCUGAUACUGCCGUGGCUAGAGUCCGGUAGAGGAGCGUAGAAUUCCUGGUGUAGCGGUGAAAUGCGCAGAUAUCAGGAGGAAUACCAGCGGCGAAGGCGGCGCUCUGGGCCGGUACUGACGCUGAGGAGCGAAAGCGUGGGGAGCAAACAGGAUUAGAUACCCUUGUAGUCC
This 293-nucleotide ribosomal RNA is filed under the name uncultured bacterium. Its description in RNAcentral is "partial 16S ribosomal RNA". It matches the Rfam family "Bacterial small subunit ribosomal RNA", at positions 505 to 796 of the family's 1533-position model. The record is from RNAcentral.